UACGUAGGGCGCAAGCGUUAUCCGGAAUUAUUGGGCGUAAAGAGCUCGUAGGCGGUUUGUCGCGUCUGCCGUGAAAGUCCGGGGCUCAACUCCGGAUCUGCGGUGGGUACGGGCAGACUAGAGUGAUGUAGGGGAGACUGGAAUUCCUGGUGUAGCGGUGAAAUGCGCAGAUAUCAGGAGGAACACCGAUGGCGAAGGCAGGUCUCUGGGCAUUAACUGACGCUGAGGAGCGAAAGCAUGGGGAGCGAACUGG
RNAcentral lists this ribosomal RNA (253 nucleotides) under uncultured bacterium. RNAcentral describes it as "partial 16S ribosomal RNA". It matches the Rfam family "Bacterial small subunit ribosomal RNA", at positions 524 to 776 of the family's 1533-position model. The record is from RNAcentral.